GUAAAGUUUCAUCAAUUUUGGAGCAUUUUGAAAUUUUUGAAAUUUUUGCUAUUUCCAUGGUAACGAGAAACAUUAGCUAAAUUCCGAAGACAGAUAAGGCAUUGACAUAUGCCAUGGUACAUAUCCAUAAAGUUUCAGUAGGUUUCAUUCAAAAUUCUAAAAGAAAAUACAGCUUUUAUGUUUUUUCCCAUAGGGCCAAUGUUAAACAUUUCUCCUGUUUCCAUGGCAAUGACAGCCAUUUUGGAAUUUCUAAGUAUCGUUGUACCCUCGGUGCCC
RNAcentral lists this long non-coding RNA (276 nucleotides) under Mytilus galloprovincialis (Mediterranean mussel). The record is from RNAcentral. Lineage: Eukaryota; Metazoa; Mollusca; Bivalvia; Mytilida; Mytilidae.